Long non-coding RNA from Pantherophis guttatus, 1141 nucleotides. RefSeq lists it as uncharacterized. Lineage: Eukaryota; Metazoa; Chordata; Lepidosauria; Squamata; Colubridae. The record is from RefSeq and is a predicted model, not a curated record.
ACACGUAGGAGGUGAAUAUAGUCAGGAUAGUUAAAGGCCUCAGUCCAACCUGCUGCCCAAGGAGUCUGUUUUAUCAUCCUGGAUUAAUGGUUGCCCAAUUUUUCCUUGAAAACCUCCAAUUAAUGGAGCCCCCAGUAAGAAUAAGCCUUAUUAUGACUGUUAAGAGAAUAAUGCACCAGUCAAAUUUAAUCCUCUUUUCCUUUUUCAAUCCCCAGAGAAAGGGCCUUGAGGAUGUCACUGGAGCAGCCGUCUCUCUCUGGCUACAACAGCCGGUCAGAUGCUGUCGAGGUGGCCCCCAUCCCUGCGGCAACCUCUCAAUCCCAACAUCACCAUCACGGAUGACAGAAGAAGGAUGUCAGAUGUUCUUCCUUGAUCUAUAAUGUGAGGGUUGUCCAACAGCACCGAAGCCAAAUCCGGAAAAAAGGGAAGAAACUGCUGGGUCAGGUCCUGUCCACAUUACGGCAUUGAAGAAGAGAAAGAGGAUGACUUAGACCAGGCAACAUUCACCAUUUGCAAAGAGCAAAGAGCUGAUGAAGCCAGUUAAGAACCCUGAAGCAUCUGGAUAAGCCAGAAGAAGCCAUUACAGAGGAAGAGCAGCUGGAGGAAACCCGGAGUUGCCUGCUCAAGAUAGGAGACCACAUUGCUGGAUGUAUGAAAACCCACACUGAACAGGAAGUUCUUGAAGUACGGAGAAGCUGAUUUGCCUGCCCACCAGUUCUUCAAUCUUUCUCGCUCUCUGACUGGGUCAUGCCAUGCUUAGAUCAAAAUCUGCAGACUUUAUCUUGCGAGUCUUCAUGACUCAAGUUUGAAUCAAGACAGAAUAUGGUCUUCUCCAGAAUAUGAUGAGGAUCCAGAGAAGAGAAGAAAGGGGGAUUCGAAUACUUCUCUUACUCAUCCCCAUGCCCCUUAUUUGUAGAUUUGUGCCCUGUUUACUGAGGUGUUCCUUGUUUAAUCAUAUGAAAAGAAAGCUUGCUCUUUUUAACAAGCGGGAAUUGUUGGAAGGUGAGAAAAUGGGGGGAGGAGGGAGCAACUGAUUGGAGGCGGAGCGGAGCAUGGCAUGUCCUCUGUGGGUGAGAGGUUGAAGGGGCGACUGCAGGGGAGGGCUGCGUGCUCUGGCUCCACUCCAAAGAGGGGCAAGGGU